This 289-nucleotide ribosomal RNA is filed under the name uncultured Glomeromycotina. RNAcentral describes it as "partial large subunit ribosomal RNA". Lineage: Eukaryota; Fungi; Glomeromycota. The record is from RNAcentral.
UGUAAUCGCGUUCUAACCUUUUGACCGCCAACUAGAAUGUCAUAAGCACGCUUUCGACACUCGAGCGACUUUCAGAGGUCAGACAGAUAGCCCAAAGGGUAUUCGUUGCAAUCCUCGAUCCCAAUCGUCACAUCUACCAAAGGCUAUAACACUCCGAUACGAGAUCGAAGCCACAUUCCUCCGAUCAUUUUAUGACGAUCAAAAUCGAUAUUGACCUACCAUACGGAAAAGUGCACAACAAAAGUACCAUAACGCAAAGCAACGAAGGCCGCGAAGCUCAACGUCACCC